AGUGAACGCUGGCGGUAGGCCUAACACAUGCAAGUCGAACGGCAGCACAGUAAGAGCUUGCUCUUACGGGUGGCGAGUGGCGGACGGGUGAGGAAUACAUCGGAAUCUACUUUUUCGUGGGGGAUAACGUAGGGAAACUUACGCUAAUACCGCAUACGACCUACGGGUGAAAGCAGGGGAUCUUCGGACCUUGCGCGAUUGAAUGAGCCGAUGUCGGAUUAGCUAGUUGGCGGGGUAAAGGCCCACCAAGGCGACGAUCCGUAGCUGGUCUGAGAGGAUGAUCAGCCACACUGGAACUGAGAAACGGUCCAGACUCCGACGGGAGGCAGCAGUGGGGAAUAUUGGACAAUGGGCGCAAGCCUGAUCCAGCCAUACCGCGUGGGUGAAGAAGGCCUCGGGUUGUAAAGCCCUUUUGUUGGGAAAGAAAAGCAGCAGGUUAAUACCCCGCUGUUCUGACGGUACCCAAAGAAUAAGCACCGGCUAACUUCGUG
RNAcentral lists this ribosomal RNA (491 nucleotides) under uncultured bacterium. Its description in RNAcentral is "partial 16S ribosomal RNA". It matches the Rfam family "Bacterial small subunit ribosomal RNA", at positions 29 to 507 of the family's 1533-position model. The record is from RNAcentral.